GAGUUUGAUCAUGGCUCAGAUUGAACGCUGGCGGCAGGCCUAACACAUGCAAGUCGAGCGGUAGAGAGAAGCUUGCUUCUCUUGAGAGCGGCGGACGGGUGAGUAAUGCCUAGGAAUCUGCCUGGUAGUGGGGGAUAACGCUCGGAAACGGACGCUAAUACCGCAUACGUCCUACGGAGAAAGCAGGGGACCUUCGGCCUUGCGCUAUCAGAUGAGCCUAGGUCGGAUUAGUCUAGUUGGUG
RNAcentral lists this ribosomal RNA (242 nucleotides) under uncultured bacterium. Its description in RNAcentral is "partial 16S ribosomal RNA". It matches the Rfam family "Bacterial small subunit ribosomal RNA", at positions 9 to 254 of the family's 1533-position model. The record is from RNAcentral.